GUGCCAGCAGCCGCGGUAAUACGGAGGGGGUUAGCGUUGUUCGGAAUUACUGGGCGUAAAGCGCACGUAGGCGGAUCAGAAAGUCGGGGGUGAAAUCCCAGGGCUCAACCCUGGAACUGCCUCCAAAACUCCUGGUCUUGAGUUCGAGAGAGGUGAGUGGAAUUCCGAGUGUAGAGGUGAAAUUCGUAGAUAUUCGGAGGAACACCAGUGGCGAAGGCGGCUCACUGGCUCGAUACUGACGCUGAGGUGCGAAAGUGUGGGGAGCAAACAGGAUUAGAUACCCCGGUAGUCC
This 292-nucleotide ribosomal RNA is filed under the name uncultured bacterium. Its description in RNAcentral is "partial 16S ribosomal RNA". It matches the Rfam family "Bacterial small subunit ribosomal RNA", at positions 505 to 796 of the family's 1533-position model. The record is from RNAcentral.